AGGGGGCGCUCUGUACGCGCUCAGAUAGAGGAAAGGCGCCAACGAAUACUGAUGGCCCACAAGCUCAGACAGCUUGAGGCUGAAACGUGGAACCAAUACGACUCAACACUACGGAGGGUGAUGAUGGAGCACAGGCAGAAAAACUUCCGCCACCCGCUGGAGUGUGACCAACAUCCUUCCUUCCGUGUCAGAAUGGAGUACGACGAGAAGGUAAAGGAGAGGAUGAAAGAGAAUGAGGAAGGCCUAAGCCCUGUGAGCCAGAAGGCACCAGAGGGAUGGCAGGAAGACCCACAGCCCCCGAGGAGAGCACAGAGAGAAUUCGAGCCACCAAUUCACAAGAGGUCUGAGAAGGAGCUGAAGAAGCCAACACCUCCAGCUCAUCCACAGCCUACACCCCCUGAGCGCCCGGAUAAACCUCAGGACCCUCCAACAACGGUACGCUAUAGCCAUUUGCCAGCCCCGUUUGCCCUUGGAGACUCCAGAGCAGGGCAGAAGCAGCAGCUGUUGCUGCCCACCGUCCCUGUGCUCCUGCCUGUGCCCAGCCCCAGGAGACUAACGCUGCACUCGGUUGUGUUUCCCUUGCCUGCAGAGGGCGCGCUCUGUGCGUGCUCAGAUGGAAGAAAGACGGCACAGAAUACUGAUGGCCCACGAGCGCAAACAGGUUGAAGAUGAAAUCUGGGGGGAAUACGAUGCAAUCCUACGGAGUAGGAGCAGGGAGCGAGAAAAGGUAUGUCAUGCAUUCAGAGCCC
This 749-nucleotide long non-coding RNA is filed under the name Anser cygnoides (Swan goose). RNAcentral's name for it is "lncRNA (ENSACDG00005005668.1)". Lineage: Eukaryota; Metazoa; Chordata; Aves; Anseriformes; Anatidae. The record is from RNAcentral.